RNAcentral lists this ribosomal RNA (301 nucleotides) under uncultured bacterium. RNAcentral describes it as "partial 16S ribosomal RNA". It matches the Rfam family "Bacterial small subunit ribosomal RNA", at positions 509 to 807 of the family's 1533-position model. The record is from RNAcentral.
CAGCAGCCGCGGGAAUACAGAGGAUGCAAGCGUUAUCCGGAAUGAUUGGGCGUAAAGCGUCUGUAGGUGGCUUUUCAAGUCCGCCGUCAAAUCCCAGGGCCCAACCCUGGACAGGCGGUGGAAACUACCAAGCUGGAGUACGGUAGGGGCGGAGGGAAUUUCUGGUGGAGCGGUGAAAUGCGUUGAGAUCGGAAAGAACACCAACGGCGAAAGCACUCUGCUGGGCCGACACUGACACUGAGAGACGAAAGCUAGGGGAGCAAAUGGGAUUAGAUACCCCCGUAGUCCCUGUCUCUUAUAC